This is a long non-coding RNA of Leptidea sinapis, 515 nucleotides long. RefSeq lists it as uncharacterized. Lineage: Eukaryota; Metazoa; Arthropoda; Insecta; Lepidoptera; Pieridae. The record is from RefSeq and is a predicted model, not a curated record. The transcript is spliced from 4 exons.
CACGUUGUUCUUUUGUUUCUUAACGAUAGGAGACCAUAAAGACGUGCAAGAAAAAAUGGUAAAAGAAAUAAAACAAGUAAUGGGUGAAGAGAAGUGCGAUGUCACAAAAGAACACUUGUCAAUGAUGCCGUAUUGUGAGGCUGUAAUAAAUGAAACCAUGCGGCUAUAUCCUGCAGCUCCUGGCGUUAUGCGAUACGCAGACCGUGACGUUAAACUUGACUCGUGUACCAUCGUAAAAGGGACAAAUGUUUAUAUUAAUUUCUGGAGUAUGGGUAGAAGUGAGAAAGAGUGGGGUCAUGAUGCGUUAGAGUUUAAGCCGGAGCGGUGGUUACCACCUCAUCCACCCAGGUCUAAGCAAGUAGCUUUCAGCUUGGGGAAAAGAGCUUGCAUAGGAAAAAGAUAUGCGAUUCCAGUGUUAAAGACGAUCUUGAUUCACUGCAUUCGUGAUUAUGAGAUCAUAGCUGAACCAAAUGAGAAUUUAGAGUUCAAAGUGGAUGUUGCCUUAAAAGCAAUAA